Syngnathus typhle (broad-nosed pipefish) is the source of this 4379-nucleotide long non-coding RNA. RefSeq lists it as uncharacterized. The record is from RefSeq and is a predicted model, not a curated record. The transcript has 2 exons. NCBI's taxonomy places the organism in Eukaryota, Metazoa, Chordata, Actinopteri, Syngnathiformes, Syngnathidae.
CAUGAAAUGGGGAACCAGCUGUUUCAGUAUUUCUUCACCCACUGAGACGUAAAGAAAUCUUCAUAGCUCUAUUGCCAAGUACUCUGCUUUGUUUCUACGGUUGUGUGGUGGAACAACAUGAUCAGUGUAUUAUAUAGGAUUAUAUUAAUAGUGAAUUGUUAUUCACUUUAAUUGAGCAUAUAUUCAAGUUUCACUCUGCUGUCAAUAAGGAAACCUCUCAAAGGCAAAACAAGGAAAUGAAAAAAAGGAAACAUUUGGACUUGAGAGUGGCUGGAACUUCCUUUCCGCUUCACAGCUGUCAACAUCUGUAUCUGCCAACUCUGGACAGAUGUCUCAGCAGUAACACUAUCUCCAGUUAGAUAGGUGGGGUGGGGAGGCUUUUGGACUUUGUUUUGGCUGCAACUCCGCUGUAAAGAUGCCCAAACAUAGUCGUGUUCUCAGUGCUUGUUUAGUGCAGAGUCGACCGGAAAAAUGAAUAUGCUGGCCUAAGAAGUCUCUCUCUCUGUCUGAACUCAUCAACCUUUAUUUCAGACUUGCGGGAAGAAAAAAAAAAAAAAACACAAUUAUCACAGCUAUAUGCACUGUGCAGGUUUCAAUGUUGUGCAGGAUGCUAUAAACCACAGGUGUCAAACUCAAGGCCCGGGGGCCAGAUACGGCCCGCCACAUCAUUUUAUGUGGCCCGCCAAGACAAAUUGUGCAUCAAAUUUGUGUCAUGACUAGAAUUGCAAAUUUUCUUCAUUUUUAAUAAUAUCUUUUCUUUAAAAUAUCUGACCAGUUUUUACUCGUCUGAUUUGAAAACGAGUUAUUUGUCAGUUUGUUUUGUAGCUUAUACUGUAUAUAAUAUGAAGUGCUCAUACACUUAUUUGGGUUGACAGUCAUAAUGGCCCUCCGAAAGAAGCUAUUACUACAAUGCGGCCCGCUAAAAAGAAAAAAGUUUGACACCCCUGCUAUAAACGUAUGUCCUGUCCUGACUGUGACCUUGCAACCUGACCCACAGUUUCCUAUCUCCUCCCAUCCAAAAUCUUCACACCUGCACCUAAUUAAGUUCUUUCUCCCGUAUUCCCACCAUCAAACUAAGAAUCAUAUCAAGACGUGGGUUACAGAGGCUCUAUGACGAACCCGGCAUGACCCAAAUCCUGACCCUGAUCCAGAAAAUCAAACGGGGACUGAUGACAAAAAUAACAGCUGUAAUUAAGUCAGGCCCCUCAAACCAAAAGGACGGAAAUUCCGCUCUGUUUUUUUUUUUCUCUCUCUCCGCUUUGCAAAUCCAAACUUGGCCCGUCUAACUAAUGAAGGCAUUUUUAUAGUUAUGGUGCAUUCCUUAUUUUAAGAUGAUGGCCAUUUUAUGAUUUGAACCAUCUCAUUUAAUGCAAACAGAAUUUGAAAUAUGCAGGUUGUCUAGGACUCUUACAAUGCCAAACUAUAACUAAACAAAUAAAAUAGACAUUUGCAAUAAGGUUACAUCUGUACUUGCACAAUCCAGCUUCGCAGUUCCGUUUGUGACAUUUCCUUUCAAACAUCUAAAACACAAGGACACACCAGAUGGCCAUUUGGCAACACCUUUUGCCUCAAUAGUUAACCUCAACUUGUAUUUUCUACUUUCUUCUCAAUUUUUAAUUGAAAAUAAGGGUUUUAUAUUCCGUUCCAUUAUCUAUGUAUUCUACUCUAUUCUAUUCCAUUCCAUUCUAUUCCGCUGUUAACUUAACAUCCUGAUGGAGGGUCCAAAAUGUGUGUGAAUUUCACAAUCCUUUCUCUCUUCUUAGCGCUUUGGUGCAAGUUGUUGUUUGUCAGUUAUUCACACUAAAAUUUUACAGCUCCCCUUGUAGGCCGUGUUUUUCUUUUCCCACACAUAAUUCUGAAGCCUUAACACCAUCGCAGCAGGGACACACUAAAUCAAAUGUUUGCUCGGGUUGUUGAUGCGUAUUCUAAUUUGCAAAUUUCAAAGCGCUGAGGCAGUUUAGGUUGUCAAAAUUACAUUUGAAAAAAAGGUUUGCAUGGCAAAGAAUAUAAAGUACACUAACUGCUUGUCAUUCUUAGUAAAACUGCUUUUGAAUAACCAUUGAAUGUAAGAAAUGCAAUUCUAAUCCAGGACGGCAAAAAGCCCUGUGGUCCUCUUGUCCUACAUUUUCAAAGUUGACAAUACGUAUUGAGGGUUUCAAUGUCCUUCUUGUAAAUUUCCACUUGAACAUAUUCAAAUGUAAGCAUUUCUGGACUUCAAUGAUGAUGCAGGUCUGCACACAGCUUGUUGAGUCACAUUGAAAUUAAGUUGGAAACAUCUGGUCCCUCUUACUCACAAAGCCUGUAACCCAGGGUCUUGCCCAAACAGACCAAAUAAAACAGCCACAAGUGUACCGGCCAAUGAAUGAUACACACAGAAACAGAAUUUAGGAUUUCCUAGCUCUGUAUCUCGACGCGGAGAUGCCAUGAGGACACAAAACAGACUUCUACUCCUUUGAAACAAUAUCCAUCCCGAGGCCUCCCCGCUUUUGUACAUUGCCCUUACACUAAAAUGGGCCAUAAAGCAUGCUCUUUGUAGCUUUUUUUACCUCAUUUUACUUAAGCCGCAUGUGCAAUGAACAACAGGACCUAGCGAUUUCAUUCAAGCACUAAUUGAACUCUUAGUCUGGAUCAGGUCAAUCAGGUCCAUGUACAGGUCCUGGUAGGCUGCUGCCAAGAACCAGCUUUCUUCUCCUCUGUUUAAUCUCUGACCUACUUCUCACACACACCCAAACAAUGAUGCUUGAGAUAAUCCAGCAGAUGCGCAAUAACAUCUGCUGCAAAAAGAUGGAAGGGGUUCAACAAGAGGAGGAGGUGAGGCAAGGCAAGGGGUGUGUCUUCUGGACUUUGACAUGCUUAACGCCCUUUGGUGGGCAUCGGGUCCAUCGUUGUAAACAAUGCAAGCAGGUGACAACUAAUGUAUACAUUGAUGUUCUUUUUCUCCACCUCUGAAUGACAAGCUUAGUGAUUUGACUUCGCACCCUUGUUUUAGACUUUUGUCAUGUGUCUUACUUCCUGCUUUGACAGAUUUGCAGAGGAAGGUAUAUGCCAGACAAUAUGGAAAUAUGAGAAUAAAAUGGAUUCCUUUGAGGCCAAUGUAGACACUUCCUAAGCCAUUUGAGUUGGCAUAGACUUCUUUCAAUUUUAGGUGGCAGCUGAUCCAGUAAUUUUAUUUUUCCUUCCUUAUUCAAAGGUCAACUGGUCUGAGUGUUUAAUCAUAAAUGGCAUGAAGCAGCUCCUCCACUGAUUCUCCCUUCCAACACUAACAUUGUCCUCUUUAUCGGUCUUGCCUUUCAUCUUCCAAAUCCCGCAUUUGGUCUGCAUCAACGCAGCGUAGAAACAAAAGGAGACGGGCACUCAGGAAGUACAGUAAAAGAGUAUAAUAUAUGUAGUUUCAUUGGUCUGCCAUCUGUUGCCAUCUCUUCCACUGUGGGGAUUUAAAAGUUAAUCUAUGGUAAGAGCAUCCAAUUGGGCUGCUACAACAAAGGCUAUGUUGUCAAUAACUGAAUACAAAUUUGAAGUAAAUCUACAUUGAGAAGAGAGAAGAAAAGUAUGGCAGUUACAAAACAAUAUACUAUCGUCAUAUCAUAGCUAUGUUUUGAAAACUAAUGUCAUACUACAACAGAUCAUUUUUAAAAACCUGCUGAUGUUUUUCUAUUAUUAUCCUUAUAAUGUCCUGUGCCGUGUUUAUUUUCUUGUUUAUUUGGUAAAUUGAGCUCUAAAAAAAUGAUAAAAUUACCAAAAAAAUCUUAAAUUGCUUUUGUCAGCAGUUGGAGGACCGGUUAUCUCUUUCCAAAUACUUCUGUUUAUAUCGUACAUAAACGUAGUAAAUGGUGAAUAACUGUGAUUAGAAACUUAACGGUCUGUAGGAUAACAAUUGAGGUGAACAACCUUUUGGAAUCCCAAUGCAGCUCAGCUGUGGUGAAGGUUAAACAAUGUUAUCAAAUGGAACCAGAUGCAGCCAAAAUUCCAAUAGAGAUACUACAGUAACUAGCUGACAAUGAUUGUGACCCGUAGUGUCACAAGGUGGCAGGUGUCGUUUAAGACAUGUGUAACCAUAGUUUCAGCAGGAACAAAAAAAACACUGAAAUGGGCUGGAGAAGAAUACAGCUCCAGGGAGAGAGACAGCGGAAGGGAACUCAACGUGAUUAACUGUUUGGGAUAUGUUACAAAAAUAUAGCCUCAUGUUCUUUUGCGAGAUUACAAAAACAGUGACAUCAUAUGUAGAAUGCUUCAAGAGGACCUCUCUGUAAACAAAGAAAGGGGGCAUUCAUUUGUCCAAAGUUUUUUAUACUCAUGAUAUCACUUCCACGGUCCCUGAUCGGCCAUUGCGAUGAUAUGUGAUAAUGUCACACCUGUUUAAAGAAAUCUCUUCGAUAUAA